GAACAUGAAACCAUAAGCUUACAAGCAGUGGGAGUCCGAUUUAACGGAUGACCGCGUGCCUGUUGAAGAAUGAGCCGGCGACUUAUAGGCACUGGUAGGUUAAAGCGAAAAUGCUGGAGCCAAAGGGAAACCGAGUCUGAAGAGGGCGAAAAUCAGUGUUUAUAGACCCGAACCCUGGUGAUCUAACCAUGUCCAGGAUGAAGCUUGGGUAACACCAAGUGGAGGUCCGAACCGACCGAUGUUGAAAAAUCGGCGGAUGAGGUGUGGUUAGGGGUGAAAUACCAAUCGAACCAGGAGCUAGCUGGUUCUCCCCGGAAUGUGUUGAGGCGCAGCGGUUGUGAUUAAAUCUGGGGGGCAAAGCACUGUUUCGGUGCGGGCUGGGAGACCGGUACCAAAUCGAGACAAACUCAGAAUACCCAGAGAACACACAGCCAGUGAGACAGUGGGGGAUAAGCUUCAUUGUCAAGAGGGAAACAGCCCAGACCACCAGCUAAGGUCCCCAAAUCAUCACUAAGCGAUAAAGGAGGUGAGAUUGCCUAGACAACUAGGAGGUUUGCCUAGAAGCAGCCACCCUUGAAAGAGUGCGUAAUAGCUCACUAGUCAAGCGAUCUUGCGCCGAAAAUGAACGGGGCUAAGUGAUGUACCGAAGCUGUGGGAUUACUAAAAAUAAUCGGUAGGGGAGCGUUCCGUCGUAGGUAGAAGCAGUAGCGGCGAGCAGCUGUGGACGAAACGGAAGUGAGAAUGUCGGCUUGAGUAGCGCAAAUGUAUGUGAGAAUCAUACACCCCGAAACCCUAAGGGUUCCAGAGCCAGGUUCGUCCACUCUGGGUUAGUCGGGACCUAAGGCGAGGCCGAAGGGCGUAGUCGAUGGACAAAGUGUCAAUAGUCACUUACUGUUCUGUGGGAGCAUAGAUAGGGACGCAUGAAAGAUAGCCAUACCCUGAUUGGUUUGGGAGGAGUUUACGAACUCCGAGUGGUGAAGGAUAGUGCCAAGAAAAGCUAUAUAUGUGAUGAAGAUAGAACACCCGUACCCGAAACCGACACAGGUAGGGAGGUUGAGAAUACCAAGGGGCGCGAGAUAACUCUCUCUAAGGAACUCGGCAAAAUGGCCCCGUAACUUCGGAAGAAGGGGUGCCCACUGUAUAAGUGGGUCGCAGUGAAGAGAUCCAAGCGACUGUUUACCAAAAACACAGGUCUCCGCCAACUCGAAAGAGGACGUAUGGGGGCUGACGCCUGCCCAGUGCCGGAAGGUCAAGGAAGCUGGUCAGCGAAAGUGAAGCUGGCGACCGAAGCCCCGGUGAACGGCGGCCGUAACUAUAACGGUCCUAAGGUAGCGAAAUUCCUUGUCGGGUAAGUUCCGACCCGCACGAAAGGCGUAACGAUUUGGAUGGUGUCUCAGAGAGAGACUCGGCGAAAUAGGAAUGUCUGUGAAGAUACGGACUGCCUGCACCUGGACAGAAAGACCCUAUGAAGCUUUACUGUAGCCUGGAAUUGUGUUCGGGCUUCGCUUGCC
This 1511-nucleotide ribosomal RNA is filed under the name metagenome. RNAcentral describes it as "bacterial LSU rRNA". It matches the Rfam family "Bacterial large subunit ribosomal RNA", at positions 546 to 2138 of the family's 2925-position model. The record is from RNAcentral.